GUCCCUGUGGCUCAGUUGGUAGAGCAUGGUGUGUGCAAUGCCAGGGUUGUGGGUUCAAUUCCCAUGGGGGGCC
Molecule: transfer RNA, 73 nt
Filed under: Salmo salar (Atlantic salmon)
Lineage: Eukaryota; Metazoa; Chordata; Actinopteri; Salmoniformes; Salmonidae
Rfam family: tRNA
About the family: Transfer RNA (tRNA) molecules are approximately 80 nucleotides in length. Their secondary structure includes four short double-helical elements and three loops (D, anti-codon, and T loops).
Source: Rfam by way of RNAcentral